AGAGUUUGAUCAUGGCUCAGAACGAACGCUGGCGGCAGGCUUAACACAUGCAAGUCGAACGCGUGUAGCAAUACACGAGUGGCGCACGGGUGAGUAACGCGUGGAUAUCUGCCUUUUGGUUCGGAAUAACCCCGGGAAACUGGGGCUAAUACCGGAUGGUUCCUACGGGAUAAAGAUUUAUCGCCAAAAGAUGAGUCCGCGUACGAUUAGCUAGUUGGUGAGGUAAUGGCUCACCAAGGCGACGAUCGUUAGCUGGUCUGAGAGGACGAUCAGCCACACUGGGACUGAGACACGGCCCAGACUCCUACGGGAGGCAGCAGUGGGGAAUAUUGGACAAUGGGGGCAACCCUGAUCCAGCCAUGCCGCGUGAGUGAUGAAGGCCUUCGGGUUGUAAAGCUCUUUUGGCGGGGACGAUGAUGACGGUACCCGCAGAAUAAGCCCCGGCUAACUUCGUGCCAGCAGCCGCGGUAAGACGAAGGGGGCUAGCGUUGUUCGGAAUUACUGGGCGUAAAGCGCGUGUAGGCGGUUAUCCAAGUCGGGUGUGAAAGCCUUGAGCUCAACUCAAGAAAUGCAUUCGGUACUGGGUGACUAGAGGACCGGAGAGGAUAGUGGAAUUCCCAGUGUAGUGGUGAAAUACGUAGAGAUUGGGAAGAACACCAGUGGCGAAGGCGGCUAUCUGGACGGUUUCUGACGCUAAGACGCGAAAGCGUGGGGAGCAAACAGGAUUAGAUACCCUAGUAGUCC
Molecule: ribosomal RNA, 744 nt
Filed under: uncultured bacterium
Lineage: Bacteria
Description: bacterial SSU rRNA
Rfam family: Bacterial small subunit ribosomal RNA
Source: RNAcentral